This 476-nucleotide ribosomal RNA is filed under the name Candidatus Scalindua wagneri. Its description in RNAcentral is "bacterial SSU rRNA". It matches the Rfam family "Bacterial small subunit ribosomal RNA", at positions 365 to 832 of the family's 1533-position model. Lineage: Bacteria; Pseudomonadati; Planctomycetota; Candidatus Brocadiia; Candidatus Brocadiales; Candidatus Scalinduaceae. The record is from RNAcentral.
UUCGCAAUGCCCGAAAGGGUGACGAAGCGACGCCGCGUGAGCGAAGAAGGCCUUAGGGUUGUAAAGCUCUGUCGAGGGUUAUGAAAUGUAAACAGGUUAAUACCCUGUUUAUUUGACAAAAGCCCAAGAGGAAGUCACGGCUAACUCUGUGCCAGCAGCCGCGGUAAUACAGAGGUGGCAAGCGUUGUUCGGUAUUAUUGGGCGUAAAGAGCACGUAGGGGGUUUUAUAAGUCAGGUGUGGAAGCCUUCUGUUCAAAGGAAGAGCGGCAUCUGAAACUGUAGAUCUUGAGUGUAGGAGGGGAGAGUGGAACUUCUGGUGGAGCGGUGAAAUGCGUAGAUAUCAGAAGGAACGUCGGCGGCGAAAGCGACUCUCUGGCCUAUUACUGACACUGAGGUGCGAAAGUUAGGGGAGCAAACGGGAUUAGAUACCCCGGUAGUCCUAACCGUAAACGAUGGGCACUAAGUAGAGGGGUUUU